CAAUCGGCCCUUUUCAGGGCCAACGUACGUUCAUAAAUGGGUUUAUU
Non-coding RNA from Aedes aegypti (yellow fever mosquito), 47 nucleotides. Lineage: Eukaryota; Metazoa; Arthropoda; Insecta; Diptera; Culicidae. The record is from Rfam.